CGCCUGUCAAGAUCCGGCCUGUGCUAGCUGGAGCUUCUCAAGGGGUUGACUACAGGGCCCCACUGUUAUUUGCCAGCUUCUCCCAGGCCACCAAGGUCCUGUGUCAGACAAGUCCCCUGAGUGUUCACACACCACUCCUUCCCUCCAGCAUCCUUGUUACCCCUACAUCCUGAUGGGCCCCAAUGUUGUUGAAAAUAUUUAAUCCCAAUCCAGGGUUUCUGCUCCGUCUUUAAUACACAUAACCUUCAUAAUAAGCCUUAAUCAGCACGAGAGCUGGGCAGGUGUCUGUCUAUCCUCUCUACUGUUGUGUCCAUUUCCCAGCCAGUAAUCCCAUUAGAUAAUUUGCCGUGUUUUGUCUGGAUUGCUCUUAACCCCAUAGUCAGCCCAUGUGGCCAUUAUUUUAAGAAUCUUACCCAAUGGAGGCUUCUCUCUCCUCCCUUUUUCCCACCUCGAUGACCCCCAAGCCUGGGAACCCUAAACCUCACCUAUGUCUCUUCUGCCCAGCUUGGCUGUCUGCAUCUUUAUUCGCCAAUCAGGGAUAACUUGGGGAGCAGGGUCACCUGGGUCUGUGUGUGGUGUCUGGGAGCAACCAGUAUUUAGCAUAGCAAAAGACCAAACCUCAACAUGCCAGUGGGCGUCAGUGCCAGGCUUGACACAGGGUCCUACCAGGGCACUGGUGGUGAGUGGGGGCAGGGUAAGGGGCAAUGCCUUGUGGUUAGAUACGGACGAAGGGAGAGGGGAGGAGAGACUACCAAAGCAAACUGAUAUAACAGGUGUUGGGGGCCUGGGUAUCUUGGGGGCUGCAGUUGAUUUCCUGGAUCAUCUGGGACAGGAGUUGAGGGAAGUGGGUCUGCAGGGGCUGGUCCUCCAGCAGCAGCUGCUAGAGUGGCCAGUCCUCUGGUUCCCUAUUGCCUCCCCUGGGAGUCUUUCCUGCAUCUCUGCACGGUGGCUGCGCAGAGCCACUGUGAAAGCCACCAUAGGAAACAGGUCCAGGAAAGGAUACAUCCACAUGAAAAGAAGGGGCUGGUGUGACUCUGUCUGUGGAAAAUGGUUAGAACCUUACAUGGCCUGUCCUCUGCCAUGGAUGAAAAGGGAACAGCAGAGGCUGCUGCACCUGUCCUCCUCCGGCUGACACGAAGAGGCUGAGAAGCCCUGGCUAGGCCCUGUGCACAGUGGCAGGCUUGAGGGGACUUGAGGCAGGGUGUCCUAAGGCUCCAGAGGCGGCCG
This 1227-nucleotide long non-coding RNA is filed under the name Rattus norvegicus (Norway rat). Its description in RNAcentral is "long non-coding RNA NONRATT017311". Lineage: Eukaryota; Metazoa; Chordata; Mammalia; Rodentia; Muridae. The record is from RNAcentral.